This is a long non-coding RNA of Anneissia japonica, 330 nucleotides long. RefSeq lists it as uncharacterized. Lineage: Eukaryota; Metazoa; Echinodermata; Crinoidea; Comatulida; Comatulidae. The transcript has 3 exons. The record is from RefSeq and is a predicted model, not a curated record.
AGAAGAUCUCAUGAUUUCAAGGCAAAUAGGCUGAGCUUUCGAUGUUUUACAUUUUUAUAAUUGAAUUUAUUUUUACCAUAAAAAGGAAGCAAGCUUACCAAUAGGUGAAAAAUCAGUAUGGCCAGCAAGAGGAAAAAAAUAAUUAUAGAUGAAAAAAUUAGGACUACACUCGUAUCGUAUUGGGACAGAGGAUUGACAGGAUAUGGAGACCAAAGAAAAAGAGACCUGUUGCAGGAAGCAGUGCUUGCAACUGGCUUGGAGGAAGUACAGGUGAAGGUAGGCUAAUUAUACUCACUCUACACUUACUAUAUACAAUGUUUAAGCAAUUUA